AUGAGGGAAAUCCUGCACAUCCAGGGCGGGCAAUGCGGCAACCAGAUCGGUGCCAAGUUCUGGGAGGUGGUGUGUGAUGAGCAUGGCAUUGACCCAACUGGGCGCUACACCGGUACCUCUGACCUGCAGUUGGAGCGUGUCAAUGUCUACUACAACGAGGCCUCCUGUGGUCGCUUUGUGCCCCGGGCUGUUCUUAUGGACCUUGAGCCUGGUACCAUGGACAGUGUCCGCACUGGCCCUUAUGGGCAGAUCUUCCGCCCUGACAACUUCGUCUUUGGGCAAUCUGGUGCCGGUAACAACUGGGCCAAGGGCCACUACACCGAGGGUGCUGAGCUUAUCGAUUCUGUUUUGGAUGUUGUGAGGAAGGAGGCUGAGAACUGUGACUGUCUGCAAGGAUUCCAAGUAUGCCACUCUCUUGGUGGUGGUACCGGAUCUGGCAUGGGUACCCUCUUGAUAUCUAAAAUCAGGGAGGAGUACCCUGACCGCAUGAUGCUGACGUUCUCAGUGUUCCCCUCACCAAAAGUAUCUGAUACUGUGGUUGAGCCAUACAAUGCAACUCUCUCAGUCCAUCAGUUGGUUGAGAAUGCUGAUGAGUGCAUGGUUCUUGACAACGAGGCUCUCUAUGACAUCUGUUUCAGGACUCUUAAGCUGACCACACCUAGCUUUGGGGACUUGAACCAUCUAAUCUCUGCUACCAUGAGUGGAGUCACCUGCUGCCUAAGGUUCCCUGGUCAGCUGAAUUCCGACCUCCGGAAGCUGGCAGUGAACCUUAUCCCGUUCCCUCGCCUCCACUUCUUCAUGGUGGGCUUCGCUCCAUUGACAUCCCGUGGGUCUCAGCAGUACCGUGCCCUCACGGUCCCAGAGCUCACACAGCAAAUGUGGGAUGCCAAGAACAUGAUGUGCGCCGCUGAUCCUCGCCAUGGCCGUUACCUCACCGCCUCUGCCAUGUUCCGUGGAAAGAUGAGCACAAAGGAGGUGGACGAGCAGAUGAUCAACGUCCAGAACAAGAACUCGUCCUACUUUGUUGAGUGGAUCCCCAACAACGUGAAGUCCAGUGUCUGUGACAUCCCGCCGACGGGGCUCUCCAUGGCGUCCACCUUUGUUGGCAACUCGACCUCCAUCCAGGAGAUGUUCCGGAGGGUGAGCGAGCAGUUCACUGCCAUGUUCAGGAGGAAGGCUUUCUUGCAUUGGUACACUGGUGAAGGCAUGGACGAGAUGGAGUUCACCGAGGCGGAGAGCAACAUGAACGACCUUGUCUCGGAGUACCAGCAGUACCAGGAUGCCACUGCCGACGAGGAGGGUGAGUACGAGGAUGAGGAUCAGGAGGCCGAGGAGGACAUGUAA
RNAcentral lists this ribosomal RNA (1344 nucleotides) under Triticum aestivum (bread wheat). RNAcentral describes it as "partial small subunit ribosomal RNA". The record is from RNAcentral. Lineage: Eukaryota; Viridiplantae; Streptophyta; Magnoliopsida; Poales; Poaceae.